This 497-nucleotide ribosomal RNA is filed under the name uncultured bacterium. RNAcentral's name for it is "partial 16S ribosomal RNA". It matches the Rfam family "Bacterial small subunit ribosomal RNA", at positions 28 to 507 of the family's 1533-position model. The record is from RNAcentral.
GAUGAACGCUGGCGGCGUGCCUAAUACAUGCAAGUCGAGCGAACAGACGAGGAGCUUGCUCCUCUGACGUUAGCGGCGGACGGGUGAGUAACACGUGGAUAACCUACCUAUAAGACUGGGAUAACUUCGGGAAACCGGAGCUAAUACCGGAUAAUAUAUUGAACCGCAUGGUUCAAUAGUGAAAGACGGCUUUGCCGUCACUUAUAGCUGGAUCCGCGCCGCAUUAGCUAGUUGGUAAGGUAACGGCUUACCAAGGCAACGAUGCGUAGCCGACCUGAGAGGGUGAUCGGCCACACUGGAACUGAGACACGGUCCAGACUCCUACGGGAGGCAGCAGUAGGGAAUCUUCCGCAAUGGGCGCAAGCCUGACGGAGCAACGCCGCGUGAGUGAUGAAGGUCUUCGGAUCGUAAAGCUCUGUUAUUAGGGAAGAACAAAUGUGUAAGUAACUAUGCACGUCUUGACGGUACCUAAUCAGAAAGCCACGGCUAACUACGUG